This is a long non-coding RNA of Canis lupus familiaris (dog), 673 nucleotides long. RefSeq lists it as uncharacterized. The transcript is spliced from 3 exons. The record is from RefSeq and is a predicted model, not a curated record. NCBI's taxonomy places the organism in Eukaryota, Metazoa, Chordata, Mammalia, Carnivora, Canidae.
CUCGCAAACCCUUCCCAGGAGCUGGGGUUUAGGGGUGCGGUGGCCUCUUGCCCUUUACGCACUUGCUAUCUAGUGGACGUCCAAGAAAUGAAUUUGCAAUGAAUGAAUGAAUGAAUGACGAUCCCCCAUUAAGAAUAUAUAAUAACCAUAUUGCACGGUAUCGGGCGGGUGGGAGCACUGUACAUGGAUGGAGACAUCGAGAUGUCGGGUGCGUUCAGGCCUCAGUCUCCCUCCCUAGUCCCUAGAAGCCUAUUUUGGUCUGGAACUCCUAGCAAUUAAAAAAGAAGUUAUUAAGCUCCCUUUCCCCCCCCUCCCCCCUUUAAAGUGAAAUUCCCUCUUUCCCAUCUUCUCUCUCCUGCCGUGUUAAUAGAGUUUCAGAUUUGUGCGGGACCGGAUCGAUAGAUGUCAUCUAUUAAAGGGAACCUCGUGCCCACGCUCCACCCAGCACGGAUCCCGCUGUCUUUUGUCCGUCCUUCCAGACACAAACUCUCGCAGACCUCUCAUCGGGUGCCCGCCAGAGUCAGGAUCUCUGCUCUAGGCCCUGGCACGUGCUGGGUGCACCAAAUGCCCCAUCAGUGAAUGGGCCUGGAUAAGGUGGACGCUGGCGGUUUAGUUUCCAGCGCGAGCAAAACAGCUGUGCUGCUUAGUGGCUUGGCCGGUGAGCAGGGACGGA